GACGAACGCUGGCGGCGUGCCUAAUACAUGCAAGUCGAACGCACUCUCGUUUAGAUUGAAGGAGCUUGCUCCUGAUUGAUAAACAUUUGAGUGAGUGGCGGACGGGUGAGUAACACGUGGGUAACCUGCCCUAAAGUGGGGGAUAACAUUUGGAAACAGAUGCUAAUACCGCAUAAAACCUAAACACCGCAUGGUGUAGGGUUGAAAGAUGGUUUCGGCUAUCACUUUAGGAUGGACCCGCGGUGCAUUAGUUAGUUGGUGAGGUAAAGGCUCACCAAGACCGUGAUGCAUAGCCGACCUGAGAGGGUAAUCGGCCACACUGGGACUGAGACACGGCCCAGACUCCUACGGGAGGCAGCAGUAGGGAAUCUUCCACAAUGGACGAAAGUCUGAUGGAGCAACGCCGCGUGAGUGAGAAGGUUUUCGGAUCGUAAAACUCUGUUGUUGGAGAAGAAUGUAUCUGAUAGUAACUGAUCAGGUAGUGACGGUAUCCAACCAGAAAGCCAACGG
Molecule: ribosomal RNA, 510 nt
Filed under: uncultured bacterium
Lineage: Bacteria
Description: bacterial SSU rRNA
Rfam family: Bacterial small subunit ribosomal RNA
Source: RNAcentral